Molecule: ribosomal RNA, 460 nt
Filed under: uncultured bacterium
Lineage: Bacteria
Description: partial 16S ribosomal RNA
Rfam family: Bacterial small subunit ribosomal RNA
Source: RNAcentral
CCUACGGGAGGCAGCAGUGAGGAAUAUUGGUCAAUGGACGAGAGUCUGAACCAGCCAAGUAGCGUGAAGGAUGACUGCCCUAUGUGUUGUAAACUUCUUUUAUAUGGUAAUAAAAUGUUCCACGUGUGUGAUUUUGUAUGUACCAUAUGAAUAAGGAUCAGCUAACUCCGUGCCAGCAGCCGCUGUAAUACGGAGGAUCCGAGCGUUAUCCGGAGUUAUUGGGUUUAAAGGGAGCGUAGGUGGAUUGUUAAGUCAGUUGUUAAAGUUUGCGGCUCAACCGUAAAAGUGCAGUUGAAACUGGCAGUCUCGAGUACAGUAGAGGUAGGCGGAAGGCGUGGUGUAGCGGUGAAAUGCUUAGAUAUCACGAAGAACUCCGAUUGCGAAGGCAGUUCACUGGACUGCAACUGACACUGAGGCUCGAAAGUGUGGGUAUCGAACAGGAUUAGAUACCCGAGUAGUC